GGGACCUUGGUGUAAUGGCAGCACAGAAGCCUGUGGAGCUUUUAGAGGGGGUUCAACUCCCCUAGGUCCCCCCA
This 74-nucleotide transfer RNA is filed under the name bacterium. RNAcentral's name for it is "tRNA-His". It matches the Rfam family "tRNA". Rfam says of the family: Transfer RNA (tRNA) molecules are approximately 80 nucleotides in length. Their secondary structure includes four short double-helical elements and three loops (D, anti-codon, and T loops). The record is from RNAcentral.